ACCCGCUGAACUUAAGCAUAUUAAUAAGCGGAGGAAAAGAAACUAACAAGGAUUCCCCUAGUAACGGCGAGUGAAGCGGGAUCAGCUCAAAUUUGAAAUCUCCUUCGGGCGAAUUGUAGUUUAGAGAAGUGUUUUCUGGGGCAGCUCAGGCAUAGGUCCUUUGGAAAGAGGCGUCAUAGAGGGUGAGAACCCCGUCUGUAGCCUGAAGCCUGCUCCUUUGUGAUACACUUUCAAAGAGUCGAGUUGUUUGGGAAUGCAGCUCAAAAUGGGUGGUAAAUACCAUCUAAAGCUAAAUAUUGGCGAGAGACCGAUAGCGAACAAGUACCGUGAGGGAAAGAUGAAAAGAACUUUGAAAAGAGAGUUAAACAGUACGUGAAAUUGUUAAAAGGGAAACGCUUGAAAUCAGUGUUGCAGCCCAGCAAUCAGCCACUCAUAGGGUGGUGCACUUGCUUGGGAGCAGGUCAGCAUCAGUUUGCUGCGAGGUAAAAAGCUGAGUACCUAGCCCUCUGGGUUGGGUCUCAGUCAUGCCUUGCGGUAGACUGAGGUCUGCUAAUUCACAGGAUGCUGACGAAAUGGUUUUAAACGACCCGUCUUGAAACACGG
This 603-nucleotide ribosomal RNA is filed under the name uncultured fungus. Its description in RNAcentral is "LSU rRNA". It matches the Rfam family "Eukaryotic large subunit ribosomal RNA", at positions 23 to 664 of the family's 3401-position model. Lineage: Eukaryota; Fungi. The record is from RNAcentral.